This 492-nucleotide ribosomal RNA is filed under the name uncultured bacterium. Its description in RNAcentral is "partial 16S ribosomal RNA". It matches the Rfam family "Bacterial small subunit ribosomal RNA", at positions 29 to 507 of the family's 1533-position model. The record is from RNAcentral.
AGUGAACGCUGGCGGUAGGCCUAACACAUGCAAGUCGAACGGCAGCACAGUAAGAGCUUGCUCUUACUGGUGGCGAGUGGCGGACGGGUGAGGCAUACAUCGGAAUCUACUUUUUCGUGGGGGAUAACGUAGGGAAACUUACGCUAAUACCGCAUACGACCUACGGGUGAAAGCAGGGGAUCUUCGGACCUUUCGCGAUUGAAUGAGCCGAUGUCGGAUUAGCUAGUUGGCGGGGUAAAGGCCCACCAAGGCGACGAUCCGUAGCUGGUCUGAGAGGAUGAUCAGCCACACUGGAACUGAGACACGGUCCAGACUCCUACGGGAGGCAGCAGUGGGGAAUAUUGGACAAUGGGCGAAAGCCUGACGCAGCCAUACCGCGUGGGUGAAGAAGGCCUUCGGGUUGUAAAGCCCUUUUGUUGGGAAAGAAAAGCAGCAGGAUAAUACCCCGCUGUUCUGACGGUACCCAAAGAAUAAGCACCGGCUAACUUCGUG